UACGUAGGUGGCAAGCGUUGUCCGGAAUUAUUGGGCGUAAGGCGCGCGCAGACGGUCCUUUAAGUCUGAUGUGAAAGCCCACGGCUCAACCGUGGAAGGUCAUUGGAAACUGGAGGACUUGAGUACAGAAGAGGAAAGUGGAAUUCCACGUGUAGCGGUGAAAUGCGUAGAGAUGUGGAGGAACACCAGUGGCGAAGGCGACUUUCUGGUCUGUAACUGACGUUGAGGCGCGAAAGCGUGGGGAGCAAACAGG
Molecule: ribosomal RNA, 253 nt
Filed under: uncultured bacterium
Lineage: Bacteria
Description: partial 16S ribosomal RNA
Rfam family: Bacterial small subunit ribosomal RNA
Source: RNAcentral